GCUUAACCGGAGAAGUGCAUCGGAAACUGGGAGACUUGAGUGCAGAAGAGGACAGUGGAACUCCAUGUGUAGCGGUGGAAUGCGUAGAUAUAUGGAAGAACACCAGUGGCGAAGGCGGCUGUCUAGUCUGUAACUGACGCUGAGGCUCGAAAGCAUGGGUAGCAAACAGGAUUAGAUACCCUGGUUGUCCAUGCCGUAAACGAUGAGUGCUAGGUGUUGGAGGGUUUCCGCCCUUCAGUGCCGCAGCUAACGCAUUAAGCACUCCGCCUGGGGAGUACGACCGCAAGGUUGAAACUCAAAGGAAUUGACGGGGGCCCGCACAAGCGGUGGAGCAUGUGGUUUAAUUCGAAGCUACGCGAAGAACCUUACCAGGUCUUGACAUCUUCUGCCAAUCUUAGAGAUAAGACGUUCCCUUCGGGGACAGAAUGACAGGUGGUGCAUGGUUGUCGUCAGCUCGUGUCGUGAGAUGUUGGGUUAAGUCCCGCAACGAGCGCAACCCUUAUUAUCAGUUGCCAGCAUUAAGUUGGGCACUCUGGUGAGACUGCCGGUGACAAACCGGAGGAAGGUGGGGAUGACGUCAAAUCAUCAUGCCCCUUAUGACCUGCGCUACACACGUGCUACAAUGGACGGUACAACG
This 637-nucleotide ribosomal RNA is filed under the name uncultured bacterium. Its description in RNAcentral is "bacterial SSU rRNA". It matches the Rfam family "Bacterial small subunit ribosomal RNA", at positions 607 to 1244 of the family's 1533-position model. The record is from RNAcentral.